UCCUAGCCUUCCUAUCCCUACCUUUCUUCUCUCCUUAUCUUCCUUAAUUCUCUUCCUAGACUCUUGUCCUAAAAUCGAACUUGUCCUUUCUAUUUUUGGACUUAUCCUAACAAGAGAAGAAAGAGACUAAUUGGACAAUAGAGAGAGGAUGUUAGAAAGGAGGAAUUGAAAAUCUGAAUGAAUCCAAUCCCCGACGCAACCCCC
Molecule: long non-coding RNA, 204 nt
Filed under: Elaeis guineensis (African oil palm)
Lineage: Eukaryota; Viridiplantae; Streptophyta; Magnoliopsida; Arecales; Arecaceae
Description: long non-coding RNA (EGUI_LNC069017)
Source: RNAcentral